RNAcentral lists this ribosomal RNA (447 nucleotides) under uncultured bacterium. RNAcentral's name for it is "SSU rRNA". It matches the Rfam family "Bacterial small subunit ribosomal RNA", at positions 26 to 518 of the family's 1533-position model. The record is from RNAcentral.
AGAACGAACGCUGGCGGCAGGCUUAACACAUGCAAGUCGAGCGAUCGCAGCAAUGCGGGAGCGGCAGACGGGUGAGUAACGCGUGGGAACGUACCCUCCGGUUCGGAAUAACUCAGGGAAACUUGAGCUAAUACCGGAUACGGUCGAGAGGCGAAAGAUUCAUCGCCGGAGGAUCGGCCCGCGUUCGAUUAGCUAGUUGGCGGGGUAAUGGCCCACCAAGGCGACGAUCGAUAGCUGGUCUGAGAGGAUGAUCAGCCACAUUGGGACUGAGACACGGCCCAAACUCCUACGGGAGGCAGCAGUGGGGAAUAUUGGACAAUGGGUGCAAGCCUGAUCCAGCCAUGCCGCGUGAGUGAUGACGGCCUUAGGGUUGUAAAGCUCUUUCGCUAGGGACGAUAAUGACGGUACCUAGACAAGAAGCCCGGCUAACUUCGUGCCAGCAGCCGC